This is a long non-coding RNA of Eleginops maclovinus (Patagonian blennie), 2337 nucleotides long. RefSeq lists it as uncharacterized. Lineage: Eukaryota; Metazoa; Chordata; Actinopteri; Perciformes; Eleginopidae. The record is from RefSeq and is a predicted model, not a curated record. The transcript is spliced from 3 exons.
AUUGUUUUUGAACAGCCAGAAGUUGGUGGACUCGAGGCCCAACUCCUCUUGAGUCCCAUCAAACCCGGAGAAGACCAAGAACGAUCCUCUGCCAUGUUUCAUCAUGUUCAGCCUUUCCUGAAUACCUACAGUAAAGGGGGAAGAAGUUUCUGGAAGGUGGUGAAGACGCCACAGUUUGAAACAACCACAGGAGCAUGAACCUCCAAUUCCUCCUGACCUUUCCUCACUUUCACACCUGUCACAUAAGACAAAAAGGAAGUCCUUUACUUGUGCAUGUCCUCGUAAAAAGGUGUGGCAGCAGCCUCCAGCCUGGUCAUGUUGCUCCAGCAGCAGGACUCUCUUCCCUGCUUUGGCCAGUGUCGCUGCAGCUGUCAGACCACCGAUACCGCUCCCGAUGACAAUCACAUCCAGGUUCUGGGGCACUUUGUCAAGGCUGAAACCUGGACAGAAGCAGACCAAGAUGAUAUAAUCACGGUAACAAUUACAUGUCUAGAAAAGAUAAACAUUAAUUGAAAAUGUAACAUCAACUGCUAAAGUGUGUUGCGUAAUAGUCUGAAAGUUGCUCUGCACACCUUUCCUCUCAUAAAUACAUGUCUGCUGAUCUAGUUCCUGUGUCUGUGUUAUCCUCUUGGCAAUGAAACGGUAGAUAAGAGUGCAAACACAAUCUGCAGGUGCAUUAUCUAAUUAAGAUAAAGCCAACAGAUGAAAAGAAGCAUACUAACGUACUCAUUUAGGUUUACUCUGUUCAGAGUUCUGCUCUGUUAAGUUAUGACCAGGAAAACAGAUCAUUUAGAUUAGACGUAUCAGCAAACCUCAGCAGUUCUAAGAACUAGACUGACUGUAAACUGAUAGUGUCAUAUAUUUCUUCUACUCAUUUCCUUUUCACUUUUUCUAGGUUAACAUUAGUUGAGGUAAAACCCACCAAAUGUUCAAUUGAAUUGAUGUCAAGGGACGUGAGCAGACCUUUUAAUGCUUGAUCUAACCACAUUUGUUUUACUUAACAGAAUACAAUUCUUUAGAUUUUCCCUUGGAAUAUUACCUCACUAACCCACACCAUUUUUCCAUUCAUUUUCUUUUACCUACAAUGUUUCUAAUACCCCGCUGUUGAUAUAGAAGUUGAAUCACACACUAGUUUAAGUUAAAGAAGUAAACCGGAUUCAUUUGAUAAUGCACCUUUUUUUCCUGCAUAAUGCCAUCUGUCGACAUUAAGAUUUUUGCCCGAUGAAAACAACGCUAUUAUUUUGAAAGGGCACCACAACAGCAAAAAUAACACAAUGUUUUUAUUUUUCCUCUAUUGGGUUUCUGCUUGGGCAACUUUGGCCUGACAACUUUAGUCUCUUUUGAACAAUUUAUUAAGUCCUUAUAACAUUUUAAUUUUGCUUAACAUAGCAAAAGUGGAUACUUUUGUUACACCUGUUUGCAGAUUGAAAUGUUUGCUGUAAAAAAAGGGAUUUUAUUAAAUGAGUUAUUGAUUUCUGCGACAGCAGAGGUUGAUAACAAAGCAAAUCUAUGAUAUUUGUUCCUAAAUUAUUUUUUUCACAUAACAUUUUAGAUUGCUUUCACUAAAGCAAUCUAAAAAACCAUACGGGCAUGUUCCAAGAUGACAAUGCCAGGAUCCAUCGGGCUCAAAUUGUGAAAGAGUGGUUCAAGGAGCAUGGGACAUAAUUUUCACACAUGGAUUGGCCACCACAGAGUCCAGACCUGAACCCGAUGGAGAAUCUUAGCGAUGUGCUGGAGAAGACUUUGCAUAGUGGUCCGAAUCUCAUCAAUACAAGAUCUUGGCGAAAACUUAAUGCAAGACAGAAAUAAAUGUUGUGACAUUGCAGAAGCUUGUGGAAACGAUGCCACAGCGAAUGUGUGUCGUAAUCAAAGCUAAAGGCGCUCCAACGAAUAUUAGAGUGUGUGACCUUUUCUUUGGCCAGGCAGUUUAUUUGUUUAUAACCGAUGGAAUAAAUUAAGCUAUUAUUUUAGAAAAUGGUCAUUUUCAUUCUUAGUCUGCAUUCUGCUAAAUGUUUUGCAUUUUUCAUUUAAGUGUGUGCCUAAAGUCAAUCAGACUUAACUGGUAAAAAAUACACUUCUUCAUGAAAACAUCCCCUCACAUUGCCAAUUAGCAUUUUCAUCUGCAAUAAUUUUACCUUGCUUGAUGACUUUGUCCCUCUUCUUCUGAUCAAACUCUCGAGGUCCAGGGGGUCUCACGGACUCCAGGGAGAAAGGGCUCUUUUUCCCAAACAGGUACCAGUAUGUGCCACCGGCCCAUAUAACAAGCCACGCUAAGAAGAUCAAUAGCCACAUCAUGGAGACAAUCGAAUCACAGUGUCUGGUAAGAGUGUCUGCAGC